GCGGGUAUAGUAUAACGGCUAUUACUCCAGUUUUCCAAACUGGUGACAGGGGUUCGAUUCCCCUUACCCGCUCCA
This 75-nucleotide transfer RNA is filed under the name Candidatus Portnoybacteria bacterium RBG_19FT_COMBO_36_7. Its description in RNAcentral is "tRNA-Gly". It matches the Rfam family "tRNA". Rfam says of the family: Transfer RNA (tRNA) molecules are approximately 80 nucleotides in length. Their secondary structure includes four short double-helical elements and three loops (D, anti-codon, and T loops). Lineage: Bacteria; Candidatus Portnoyibacteriota. The record is from RNAcentral.